RNAcentral lists this non-coding RNA (165 nucleotides) under bovine gut metagenome. RNAcentral's name for it is "Lysine riboswitch". It matches the Rfam family "Lysine riboswitch aptamer". From Rfam's summary of the family: Riboswitches are metabolite binding domains within certain messenger RNAs that serve as precision sensors for their corresponding targets. The record is from RNAcentral.
AGAGGUAGAGGUUGCGUGAUUCAUGAGUAGACUGACAGAUGCGUGAGGCGCAGAAGAAGCAGCUUGAAAGGGGAUCAUGCCGAAAGGUUCGUCACCUCGGGACGGAUACUUGGGCGUACAGAUAAGAUCUGUGCGACUGUCAUCAGUUUGAUGGGGCGCUAUCCG